UACAGAGGGGGCAAGCGUUAUUCGGAAUUAUUGGGCGUAAAGGGCGCGUAGGCGGCCAUUCAAGUGACGGGUGAAAGCCCUCGGCUUAACCGAGGAACUGCCUGUCAGACUGGAUGGCUUGAGACCGGGAGAGGUGAGUGGAAUUCCCAGUGUAGCGGUGAAAUGCGUAGAUAUUGGGAGGAACACCAGUGGCGAAGGCGGGUCUCUGGACAGUUCCUGACACUGAGACACGAAGGCCAGGGGAGCAAACGGG
This 253-nucleotide ribosomal RNA is filed under the name uncultured bacterium. Its description in RNAcentral is "partial 16S ribosomal RNA". It matches the Rfam family "Bacterial small subunit ribosomal RNA", at positions 524 to 776 of the family's 1533-position model. The record is from RNAcentral.